This 102-nucleotide ribosomal RNA is filed under the name Gorilla gorilla gorilla (western lowland gorilla). The record is from RNAcentral. Lineage: Eukaryota; Metazoa; Chordata; Mammalia; Primates; Hominidae.
CUAUGGCAACCCCACACUGAAAACACCAGAUCUGGUCCAGUCUCGGAAGCUAAGCAGGAUCAGGCCUGGUUAGACUUUGAAUGAGGCUGGCCUCCCCAUAGU